UACGAAGGGUGCAAGCGUUACUCGGAAUUACUGGGCGUAAAGCGUGCGUAGGUGGUUCGUUAAGUCUGAUGUGAAAGCCCUGGGCUCAACCUGGGAACUGCAUUGGAUACUGGCGAUCUGGAGUGCGGUAGAGGGUAGCGGAAUUCCCGGUGUAGCAGUGAAAUGCGUAGAUAUCGGGAGGAACAUCCGUGGCGAAGGCGGCUACCUGGACCAGCACUGACACUGAGGCACGAAAGGCGUGGGGAGCAAACAGGAUUAGAUA
This 262-nucleotide ribosomal RNA is filed under the name uncultured Lysobacterales bacterium. Its description in RNAcentral is "uncultured Xanthomonadales bacterium partial 16S ribosomal RNA". It matches the Rfam family "Bacterial small subunit ribosomal RNA", at positions 524 to 784 of the family's 1533-position model. The record is from RNAcentral. Lineage: Bacteria; Pseudomonadati; Pseudomonadota; Gammaproteobacteria; Lysobacterales.